UUGGGCAAUAUGGUGAAACCCUGUCUCUACUAAAAAUACAAAAAUUAACUGGGUGUGGUGGUGCACCCCUGUAAUCCCAAAGACAACUCAAGAGGCUGACACAAAAUAAUCUCUUGAGCCUGAGGGACAGAGGUUGCAAUGAGCCAGGAUUGCACCCUGCACUCCAGCCUGAGUGACAGAGUGAGACUCUGUCUCAA
Long non-coding RNA from Sapajus apella (tufted capuchin), 197 nucleotides. RefSeq lists it as uncharacterized. The record is from RefSeq and is a predicted model, not a curated record. NCBI's taxonomy places the organism in Eukaryota, Metazoa, Chordata, Mammalia, Primates, Cebidae. The transcript is spliced from 2 exons.